RNAcentral lists this long non-coding RNA (1999 nucleotides) under Daphnia pulicaria. RNAcentral's name for it is "uncharacterized LOC124344408". The record is from RNAcentral. Lineage: Eukaryota; Metazoa; Arthropoda; Branchiopoda; Diplostraca; Daphniidae.
AUACUGAAAGUGGAGUCUGGACCAAAAGCAAAACAAACGUUUAGCUAAAAUCAAAGUGAAUUUUGACGUGUGGUAUUUGGUAUUGUGUCUGUGGCAGGUGAAAUGACAAAUGACAAUAGUUGUGAUGACUCGUUAAAUACGAAAAUAGACGAUUACUUCAACAAAAAGCAGUGUAUGUUUCUGUUCCUGCGUAAAACGGAAAUGCAUACCAGCAGCAGAAAAGGAUGUCUAACAGAUAAUGUCUUAAGCUACUUUGGUAACAAUAACUAAUAGAGGUGCAUUUCUUCGGACACAUAUUUGUCAACCCAUUACGAGUCAACUUGCAUCUAGCAUCUACUUUCUGUAUUACUGUUUCUACUUUGACGAGUAUGCAACAGCCAUGUAACAGAACAAUGUAUAGUUUGGUGCUUUUGACUGCAAGUCAGUUUGCGUGGCUGCAUAACCAUUCAGCAUUGGACUGAUAAACUUCCAUAGAGUUACUAUCACAAGACUUUCGUUGUGUUUGUUUUCAGCUGGCAAAGUCUUUCCACGAGUGCAACAAAAGUUUUUUCAUUGCAGAGUCAACAAAUUUGUGAAUGGUCCACAUCCUCUCCACAAAUUCCUUAGAAGGAAUAUUCAGUCCUCCACGGUCUAGUAUAGCAAUUGUUCAAGGUGUUCACAGCAUUUGCUUGGGAGUCGUGAAAAUCAUUGUGCCUCAGGCUUUCCAAGCACUCAACGCAAAUCUCCCGUUCACCGAUGGCUAACAGAAGAAAUCCUGAGGUCACAGCCGUUGCUAACUUGUUGUCACAUUCAUUCCCAAACCCGUUUAAAAUAAAAGCGUACCUGGUGGUCGUUUCAAUUCGUCCAACACUGCCAACUCUUCUGCGUUAAGGGACUUGAGGACGUCGAGAGCUCUUUUCUUCGGAACUUUUACGCCAGUUACUCAAGCGUUGUCGGCAACGGCACCUACAACAGUAAAUCCGAUCUUUUCUACUUCUUCGAGGAUGUGUAGGGAUUCAUCUGGUUUUAUUGCAACCUCGUCGAGCGCGAGAUUUACAUGAAUCCCGCGGCCACCUCCAAGUUCUUCAAUUUUAGCAAGUAAUGCUUGUUUAAUGGCAUCAGUGAAUCCGACUUCCAUUGUGGAAGUGCCAACGUAGCUCCGCAGUGUUUUUGACGAUGGGUUAGCUGCCCGCAAAAGCUCUUCUUCAUUGUCUGUUUCUGGGGAUCCAAAAUCGUCAAUCUCGGAUUCCGACUCGCAGUCCUCAGACAACCCCACAUCGUAAUCGGAAUCUGAAGUUCGAUCCUCCCACGUACUGGUUUCGGAAUCGCAAUCCGACGAGCGAUCUGUAUCAUCCAAAUCGUCGCAAGCCCACGAAGUAACACCGCGGCCAGAUGAGCAACUUGCGACUACGUCAUCUGCGGGCUCUGUGACGCCCGUGUCAUUCACAGCGACACCAACUGAAGAGGCCUCGACGUUCAGCUUAUGCGGUAAGUCAACUGUUACACCACAAUCUCUUUUAGUUAUAUCAUAAGGGUCGGCAUAGCUAUAUGAGUUAAAUGGCAAACCUUGAUGUGGAGCAACGGCGUUAUGUUCGUGAGUAACAACGUAAGAAACUCGCCUUUUCUUAUUUGGCGGCUGUUGACAAUUAUGUACUCCAGCUGCAGGAAUUUGAAUUUCAGUAGGUACUUGAACAGAACCAAAAAAAAAACUGAGGGAACCGCAUUAGGUAGCAAUUGUUUUCUCUCUGAGAGAAAUCCGGCUUUAAAGCUGUCGGCACUGACAUGUUUGCCGCACUCUGCCGCGUUUGUUAAUCGUGAGUCUUUUCUUAGAUGUCUCAAUCCACUCCAGUCCUGUAUCACACUAAUCCAAAGUUCUCUUUUUUCAUUGUCAAAUGGCAAUUGAUGAAAUGUAGUUUUAAUAUUCCCUUUUCCGUAAACAGAGUCACAGCCACCAACUAUGCACCUUUGAGGCAUGAUUGCAACUGAGAACGGAUCCCAUUCUUUUAAUUUCAAUAAUCAA